RNAcentral lists this ribosomal RNA (428 nucleotides) under uncultured bacterium. RNAcentral describes it as "partial 16S ribosomal RNA". It matches the Rfam family "Bacterial small subunit ribosomal RNA", at positions 354 to 796 of the family's 1533-position model. The record is from RNAcentral.
GUGGGGAAUAUUGGGCAAUGGGCGCAAGCCUGACCCAGCAACGCCGCGUGAAGGAAGAAGGCUUUCGGGUUGUAAACUUCUUUUACCAGGGACGAAACAAAUGACGGUACCUGGUGAAUAAGCCACGGCUAACUACGUGCCAGCAGCCGCGGUAAUACGUAGGUGGCGAGCGUUAUCCGGAUUUAUUGGGUGUAAAGGGCGUGUAGGCGGGACAGCAAGUCAGAUGUGAAAACCAGAGGCUCAACCUCUGGCCUGCAUUUGAAACUGUUGUUCUUGAGUGUCGGAGAGGUAAGCGGAAUUCCGUGUGUAGCGGUGAAAUGCGUAGAUAUACGGAGGAACACCAGUGGCGAAGGCGGAUUACUGGACGAUAACUGACGCUGAGGCGCGAAAGCGUGGGGAGCAAACAGGAUUAGAAACCCGAGUAGUCC